This 1459-nucleotide ribosomal RNA is filed under the name uncultured Bordetella sp. RNAcentral's name for it is "partial 16S-23S ribosomal RNA intergenic spacer". It matches the Rfam family "Bacterial small subunit ribosomal RNA". Lineage: Bacteria; Pseudomonadati; Pseudomonadota; Betaproteobacteria; Burkholderiales; Alcaligenaceae. The record is from RNAcentral.
AAGUUCGGUGGGCUCAGGUUUCGAACUGGCAGGAUGCUUUACACAUGCAAGUCGAACGGCAGCACGGGCUGGUCUGGUGGCGAGUGGCGAACGGGUGAGUAAUGUAUCGGAACGUGCCUAGUAGCGGGGGAUAACUACGCGAAAGCGUAGCUAAUGCCGCAUACGCCCUUCGGGGAAAGCGGGGGACCUUCGGGCUCGCUUUAUUAGAGCGGCCGAUAUCGGAUUAGCUAGUUGGUGGGGAGUAACGGCUCACCAAGGCGACGAUCCGUAGCUGGUUUGAGACGACCAGCCACACUGGGACUGGUUCACGGCCCAGACUCCUACGGGAGGCAGCAGUGGGAGGUACGCGGACAAUGGGGGAGACCCUGAUCCAGCCAUCCCGCGUGUGCGACAGGCCGCUCGGGUUGUAAAGCACUUUGGCGGAAAGAAACGGCACGGGAUAAUACCCGUACAAUCACCACAAGUCAGCGCAGCUAACUGCGUUGCCAGCAGCCGCGGUAAUACGUAGGGUGCAAGCGUUAAUCGGAAUUACUAGAUAAAGCGUGCGCAGGCGGUUCAGAAGAAAGAUGUGAAAUCCCAGAGCUUAACUUUGGAACUGCAUUUUUAACUACCGAGCUAGAGUGUGUCAGAGGAGGUGGAAUUCCGCGUGUAGCAGUGAAAUGCGUAGAUAUGGGAGGAACACCGAUGGCGAAGGCAGCCUCCUGGGAUAACACUGACGCUCAUGCACGAAAGCGUGGGAGCAAACAGGAUUAAGAUACCUGGUAGUCCACGCCCUAAACGAUGUCAACUAGCUGUUGGGGCCUUCGGGCCUUGGUAGCGCAGCUAACGCGCGUGAAGUUGACCGCCUGGGAAGUACGGUCGCAAGAUUAAAACUCAAAGGAAUUGACGGGGACGCACAAGCGGUGGAUGAUGUGGAUUAAUUCGAUGCAACACAUGAAAAACCUUACCUACCACUUGACAUGUCUGGAAUCGAAGAGAUUUGGGAGUGCUCGCAAGAGAACCGGAACACAGGUGCUGUGGCUGUCGUCAGCUCGUGUCGUGAGAUGUUGGGUUAAGUCCGCAACGAGCGCAACCCUUGUCAUUAGUUGCUACGAAAGGGCACUCUAAUGGGAACGCCGGUGACAAACCGGAGGAAGGUGGGGAUGACGUCAAGUCCUCAUGGCCCUUAUGGGUAGGGCUUCACACGUCAUGCAAUGGUCGGGACAGAGGGUCGCCAACCCGCGAGGAGGGAACCAAUCCCAGAAACCCGAUCGUAGUCCGGACCACAGUCUGCAACUCGACUGCGUGAAGUCGAGAUCGCUAGUAAUCGCGGAUCAGCAUGUCGCGGUGAAUACGUUCUCGGGUCUUAUACACACCGCCCGUCACACCAUGGAGUGGGUUUUACCAAGUAGUUAGCCUAACCGUAGGAGGCGAUUACCACAGUAGGAUUCAUGACUGGGGUGAAGUCGUAACAAAGGUA